This 879-nucleotide long non-coding RNA is filed under the name Bos indicus x Bos taurus (hybrid cattle). RNAcentral's name for it is "lncRNA (ENSBIXG00005016215.1)". Lineage: Eukaryota; Metazoa; Chordata; Mammalia; Artiodactyla; Bovidae. The record is from RNAcentral.
UGGAUUUCUCGUGGACCGCAGGAGUGUCUGGGUUUCCCGUCCUCUCGCUCAUCUCUGCUUCCCUCCUCUGAUCAUUGAUUUUCCUGUGGGUGGCUGGAGCCAGGGUGUGUCUACUAUGACCUGGCGUGUCUCCUGUGCAUGUACACUGAACUGGGAAGUCUCUUUAUUUUCUGAGUUGUGGUUUCUGACUGUGGUUAUUUCCAUGACCUGGGAUGUCUCCCACAUUCUCCAAGUGUGUCUUCCCUGACAUAAGAUGUCUCGAGAUGUGUCUUUGUGUCUUCUUGAAAUGGAGCAGGUCCUUGCCACCCCCACCUCACCCACCAUGUCUUCUGCCUGCGUUUUGCCUAUGGAAAACUUUAGUCAGAGGAUAAGUUUAAUCAGAGAAAUGAGAAAAGCUGAAACAAAGGAAAACAGUCAGAGAAAACUAAAUAAUAAUAACGUGGUCAUCAAGCAUAGUCAAGGACUUUUAGUUCUUUCUCAAGGGCUAUAGAUGAUAUUCUGAGCAUAUUCUGUGAGCUGUCUUAUAGUUACCAAAACACCAGGUGGGGAAGUUAACUACGUGAUGACCAGAUUGUACCCAGGACAUGAGCUGCCACAAUUCUGAGAAUUGACUGCAAAGGAAUGGGAACAAACGGACCCUGGAAAUGAAGAUUAACUGUUCCUAAAACAAUCAAGAUGGUGCUGGUCAGACCACUGAUGACCAAUUUGAAGAUGAUUGUUAGAGAUAACUGUGCUGUUUCUGCAUGUACCCUCACCCCAACUCUGUCUAUAAAAGCUCUCACUGCCUGCUUUUUGGGGUGGAGUUGGCCUUUGGACAGAUGUCUGCCACCCCCACCCCCCAGUUGCCAGCAUCUGAAAUAAAGCAAAUGUUCCUUUCCA